UGGCGGACGGGUGAGUAACGCGUGGGUAACCUGCCUCAUACAGGGGGAUAACGAUUGGAAACGAUUGCUAAUACCGCAUAAGCGCACAGUACCACAUGGUACAGUGUGAAAAACUCCGGUGGUAUGAGAUGGACCCGCGUCUGAUUAGGUAGUUGGUGGGGUAACGGCCUACCAGGCCGACGAUCAGUAGCCGACCUGAGAGGGUGACCGGCCACAUUGGGACUGAGACACGGCCCAG
RNAcentral lists this ribosomal RNA (238 nucleotides) under uncultured bacterium. RNAcentral's name for it is "partial 16S ribosomal RNA". It matches the Rfam family "Bacterial small subunit ribosomal RNA", at positions 96 to 334 of the family's 1533-position model. The record is from RNAcentral.